Arvicanthis niloticus (Nile rat) is the source of this 501-nucleotide non-coding RNA. The record is from the annotation of a RefSeq genome assembly. Lineage: Eukaryota; Metazoa; Chordata; Mammalia; Rodentia; Muridae.
UCCUCUCUUGCCUGAUGCCUGAAUGCCCCUCACUGCUAGAGAGAACUCAAGGUCUCAGGGAUGUGGCAGUUUUACAUUCCGUGGCUCUGUGUACUCAUAGCUUCUGUGGCUACAGACUCCAUAGUGACUUUGCUGGAGCAAAAACCAAGGUGGGCUAUAGUACGACGUACUCAAGCUGUGAACCUGAGCUGCAUCUUGAAGAAUUCCAACUAUCCCUGGAUGAGCUGGUAUCAGCAGGAUCUCCAAAAGCAACUACAGUUGCUGGUCACUCUGAGGAGUCCCGGGGACAAAGAGGUCAAAUCUCUUCCUGGUGCUGAUUACCUGGCCACACGGGUCACUGACACAGAGCUGAGGCUGCAAGUGACCGAAAUGAGCCAGGGCAGAACCUUGUACUGCACCUGCAGUGCAGACACAGUAGUAAACUCUGCUAGGGCAUUGGAACAGAAACCACACACAGACUGCCUUGCCUUCCAACCUUUGAUCCUCUGCAAACCCUUCUGA